UUUUUUUCUGUAAUGGCCCUGUUUUUCUGUAAUGGCCCUGUUUUUCUGUAAUGGCCCUGUAUUAAUGCCCAGCUUGUCUGUAUUAAGCCCAUGGUUAGGGUUUUUAAUAAAGUUAAUAAAAUUAAACUGUUUAAAGAGUAUAAUAUUUUUUGUUUUUUAUUUAAUUUAGUAACCAGCAACAAACAUUAAAGAACCAUAUAAAGAGAUCCUGUUUUUCAACACAUAACUUCUUUCAACUUAAUAUCUUGGAUAUUUGGUAUAUUUAAAGCUUGAUC
This 275-nucleotide long non-coding RNA is filed under the name Mytilus galloprovincialis (Mediterranean mussel). The record is from RNAcentral. Lineage: Eukaryota; Metazoa; Mollusca; Bivalvia; Mytilida; Mytilidae.